CAGUCGCCGCGGUAAUACAGAGGGUGCGAGCGUUAAUCGGAUUUACUGGGCGUAAAGCGUGCGUAGGCGGCUUCUUAAGUCGGAUGUGAAAUCCCUGAGCUUGACUUAGGAAUUGCAUUCGAUACUGGGAAGCUAGAGUAUGGGAGAGGAUGGUAGAAUUCCAGGUGUAGCGGUGAAAUGCGUAGAGAUCUGGAGGAAUACCGAUGGCGAAGGCAGCCAUCUGGCCUAAUACUGACGCUGAGGUACGAAAGCAUGGGGAGCAAACAGGAUUAGAUACCCCCGUAGUCCCUGUCUCUUAUAC
This 301-nucleotide ribosomal RNA is filed under the name uncultured bacterium. RNAcentral's name for it is "partial 16S ribosomal RNA". It matches the Rfam family "Bacterial small subunit ribosomal RNA", at positions 509 to 807 of the family's 1533-position model. The record is from RNAcentral.